GAGGGAGCGCUGGGGGCGGCGCCGACGAGGUGGACGCGGGUGGGGGAGGUGGAGCGCUGGUGAAAGAAGGAGGCGCGGGAGGCGAAGCUUGAGGAGGUGGAGGAGGCGAAGCCAGAGCCGGCGGAGGAGGUGGAGGACGAAUAGAAGUUCGCCGCCGGCGAACUCGAGCGCUGAAAGGCGCUCGAGAUCGGCAGCACCUGGCCGCUUC
Molecule: unclassified non-coding RNA, 208 nt
Filed under: Hevea brasiliensis (rubber tree)
Lineage: Eukaryota; Viridiplantae; Streptophyta; Magnoliopsida; Malpighiales; Euphorbiaceae
Source: RNAcentral